This 512-nucleotide ribosomal RNA is filed under the name uncultured bacterium. RNAcentral describes it as "bacterial SSU rRNA". It matches the Rfam family "Bacterial small subunit ribosomal RNA", at positions 36 to 507 of the family's 1533-position model. The record is from RNAcentral.
CUGGCGGCGUGCCUAAUACAUGCAAGUCGAAACGCACUCUCGUUUAGAUUGAAGGAGCUUGCUCCUGAUUGAUAAACAUUUGAGUGAGUGGCGGACGGGUGAGUAACACGUGGGUAACCUGCCCUAAAGUGGGGGAUAACAUUUGGAAACAGAUGCUAAUACCGCAUAAAACCUAACACCGCAUGGUGUAGGGUUGAAAGAUGGUUUCGGCUAUCACUUUAGGAUGGACCCGCGGUGCAUUAGUUAGUUGGUGAGGUAAAGGCUCACCAAGACCGUGAUGCAUAGCCGACCUGAGAGGGUAAUCGGCCACACUGGGACUGAGACACGGCCCAGACUCCUACGGAGGCAGCAGUAGGGAAUCUUCCACAAUGGACGAAAGUCUGAUGGAGCAACGCCGCGUGAGUGAAGAAGGUUUUCGGAUCGUAAAACUCUGUUGUUGGAGAAGAAUGUAUCUGAUAGUAACUGAUCAGGUAGUGACGGUAUCCAACCAGAAAGCCACGGCUAACUACGUG